RNAcentral lists this ribosomal RNA (410 nucleotides) under uncultured Burkholderiaceae bacterium. RNAcentral's name for it is "bacterial SSU rRNA". It matches the Rfam family "Bacterial small subunit ribosomal RNA", at positions 506 to 916 of the family's 1533-position model. The record is from RNAcentral. Lineage: Bacteria; Pseudomonadati; Pseudomonadota; Betaproteobacteria; Burkholderiales; Burkholderiaceae.
UGUCAGCAGCCGCGGUAAUACGUAGGGUCCAAGCGUUAAUCGGAAUUACUGGGCGUCAAGCGUGCGCAGGCGGUUGUGCAAGACCGAUGUGAAAUCCCCGGGCUUAACCUGGGAAUUGCAUUGGUGACUGCACGGCUAGAGUGUGUCAGAGGGGGGUAGAAUUCCACGUGUAGCAGUGAAAUGCGUAGAGAUGUGGAGGAAUACCGAUGGCGAAGGCAGCCCCCUGGGAUAACACUGACGCUCAUGCACGAAAGCGUGGGGAGCAAACAGGAUUAGAUACCCUGGUAGUCCACGCCCUAAACGAUGUCAACUAGUUGUUGGGGAUUCAUUUCCUUAGUAACGUAGCUAACGCGUGAAGUUGACCGCCUGGGGAGUACGGUCGCAAGAUUAAAACUCAAAUAAAUUGGCGG